CAGUCGCCGCGGUAAUACGAAGGGUGCAAGCGUUAAUCGGAAUUACUGGGCGUAAAGCGUGCGUAGGCGGUUUGUUAAGUCUGUUGUGAAAUCCCCGGGCUCAACCUGGGAAUGGCAAUGGAUACUGGCAAGCUAGAGUGUGUCAGAGGAUGGUGGAAUUCCCGGUGUAGCGGUGAAAUGCGUAGAGAUCGGGAGGAACAUCAGUGGCGAAGGCGGCCAUCUGGGACAACACUGACGCUUAGGCACGAAAGCGUGGGGAGCAAACAGGAUUAGAUACCCCCGUAGUCCCUGUCUCUUAUAC
RNAcentral lists this ribosomal RNA (301 nucleotides) under uncultured bacterium. Its description in RNAcentral is "partial 16S ribosomal RNA". It matches the Rfam family "Bacterial small subunit ribosomal RNA", at positions 509 to 807 of the family's 1533-position model. The record is from RNAcentral.